Lolium perenne is the source of this 2537-nucleotide non-coding RNA. NCBI's taxonomy places the organism in Eukaryota, Viridiplantae, Streptophyta, Magnoliopsida, Poales, Poaceae. The record is from RefSeq and is a predicted model, not a curated record.
CACGCCGCUCACCACCCAACGCCCUCGCUUCGUCGAUCUUCAUUCUCCGCCCGCGCCGCCGCUCCCACCCACAGCCUCCGCACCCGCCCGCCGGCGCACCAACUCCGCCUCCUCCUGCCGCCUGAUUUCCUCGCUGACGCCGCAUCCCCCCACCCCCCAACCCCCCCAGGCCGGCGUCGAGGACGGCGGAGCCCAGCGUCGCGCGGUCUUAACCUCUACCGGCCGUCGAAACGCACGCCUCCCUUCUGGUCCUGGACUAGGCCGGCCGGGUUAAUCCCAAGCGCCGCCCCGUCCUCGCCCUUGAAACACGAGGCGCCACACAGGUGCAAUCGAUUUGAUGGUGCGCGCGGCUCCGUCCAACUCGCCGGUCGAUCUGCAUCGCGCGUGGAUGAGGGAGCGCGGCGCGGUGCGGUGCUGCUCGUACCGAAGCCACCUCGACGCCUCGGCUUCAAAGGGUUUUGCCAUGGCUGACAACGGAGCGCCUCCACAAGGAGUAUCAGGUGCUCUGCAAGGAACCGCCGCUGCUGAUCGUGGCUCUCCUGCUUGCCCUGCCACAUAUGUUGUCUUUGUCUUAUGAGGAGGCGGAUGCAUGGCGGAGAAUGCCGCGGCGUCGCCGCAUCCUACUCGGUUGGCGUCGGAGGGCGCUGUUGGGGCGGUGUGCCAUGCUUUGCCGGCGGUGAUGGCGGCAGUUGCUGCGGCGACGCCACGUCCUGCUCGGUCGGCGUGGAUGUCGUGGUCGCCGUUAACGGUGAUGUGGAAAGUGGCGGCUCGUGUCCUUCUCCGCUCAACAGCGAAGAGGUCCAUGACUCGCUAGUGCCGAAGGAAUGUUCGCUGCCGGCGAGAUGCUGCGAGACGGUACUAGCAGGAGGAGAUACCGCUGUUGUUGUUGCUGCACCUGUACUUCAAGGAAGGAGGAGGUCUCGAGCCGGUUGUUGUGUUGUUGCAUAAAUGGUACUUGUGUGGUGACAACGUCCAACGUAGCUCUUGCCAAUGACGACAAUCAGCGACGCUUCCAUGCCAUGCGCCAUGCUGCUCGGGCCUUCCCGCAUCACGAACCAGCAGCUGAGAGGCAGCCCUUCCGCUGCCUAGGUGCAGUGAGUCCCUAGUUUGCUGGUGUCUGGCUUCAUCGACGUGGUUGUGCCAUUGGAAGUGGGCCCCGUGAUGAUGCCCACCAUAUUGAGUUUGCUGGUGUUGUGAGGAGAUAGGCUGUGAAUAUCUCCCCUCCUGAGUAGUGCGAACCAAACCGUCUACCUGGUGACCGAUGGUGCCGAGGAGAGCUCCUUCAAGAACAUCAACACCAUUACCGAGUGCACCUCGCUGAUGAGUUGAUCAACGACGUCGCCAAGGGCUUAUCUAACAGUGGAGGUAGAGCUGGCCAGGAGGUAUCCAUGACUGUUAGAUAAAGUCGGCUGGCACGAGCGGCCGUCUUCAACCCUAUUAGAUCAUCAGGGCGUAUAUUUCCGAGGGGGAUGAAUUACUUCAAAUUCGGUUGAGUUUCUUUUGCUGGCAACAAAGAGCCGAAGAUAGACCAAAUUGGCCUGGGUUUGGUGCUACAAUAUUUCAUUUCCUGGGAGCGUAGAAGGCUGUUGUCUGAUGCAUGACUGGAUGGUGGCCUUCUUCUUCUUCGAGUCCGUGGGUUUUUGGAAGUUUCUUGUUCCACCCCUUUCUCCUCUCUAUACUUUGAUGAAUUCGUAUGCUGCCAGGAUCAUAGCUUCAGACUUGACUAUCAUGUUUCCUUUGCUAGUUGACACUUUUGAUACAUAUUAGCCUACAGAUGCUGAUCCUACACACCUACCAUUGUUCGAUGUGGCAGUCUACAUGAUUUUUGAUAGAGUUCAUAUGUACUGUGAAUCUGUGAUGCAGCGGAGACUGUUCAUGUACUAUAUAUUACCUGUUUAUAGUUAAAAUAUAUCCAAUAUGUCCAUUUAAGUAUGUUUGAUUAGUAGUACUCCAGAUAGCUAUGUGCAGCAAUAUGGUUUACUUGAGACCUGCUCAUAUGUGGGAUCAUGAUGUAUUAUGCGCACAAGUGCUAUCCUAUCCAUUGUCUAGUUUUGAUUUUAUUUUACAAAAUAAUCUAUGAGUUACUCUUUCAGCUUUACAUCCCAACUAGUUGCUUAGUUUGUCCUUGGUUUACACAUUUGAUGCCUAUCUUCUUGUAUAAGAUUUUCAGGUAAAGACGACCUUUUUGUUUUGAGAUGGUAAAGACGACCUUGAAGUAACUAGUUGAGGUCCUUGUAAUGUUUCAGGCCGCCUAGGCUCACCCCAGGCCGCUUUGGAGUCUGGUGCACGGUCCUGGCUCGCCCCAGGUCUGCUGCUGGUGAUGUGCUGGCUGUGGCCUUUGUGUGAUACUGCAGUUUCGGUUCUUGUAAUGUGGGCUUUGUAGUGCUCCAGGCCAGGGAGUUGUAGUGGUAUUGUGUAGCUACUUCCUUUUGUAUUUUUGGUUCUUGUAAUGUGGGUCAUACUGUCGAGUCGUCUGGGUUGGUGUAUUUGGAAUGAUAUGAUCUGUGCUGAGUGCAAAUCAUUGUUUGCUGUGUGCU